Molecule: non-coding RNA, 46 nt
Organism: Schistosoma curassoni
Lineage: Eukaryota; Metazoa; Platyhelminthes; Trematoda; Strigeidida; Schistosomatidae
Source: Rfam
GCACUACUGAGGAGUCCCACAACAGGACGAAACGGCCGUCCAGUGC